AGAGUUCGUUCCUGGCUCAGAUUGAACGCUGGCGGCAGGCCUAACACAUGCAAGUCGAACGGUAACAGGAAGAAGCUUGCUUCUUUGCUGACGAGUGGCGGACGGGUGAGUAAUGUCUGGGAAACUGCCUGAUGGAGGGGGAUAACUACUGGAAACGGUAGCUAAUACCGCAUAACGUCGCAAGACCAAAGAGGGGGACCUUCGGGCCUCUUGCCAUCGGAUGUGCCCAGAUGGGAUUAGCUUGUUGGUGGGGUAACGGCUCACCAAGGCGACGAUCCCUAGCUGGUCUGAGAGGAUGACCAGCCACACUGGAACUGAGACACGGUCCAGACUCCUACGGGAGGCAGCAGUGGGGAAUAUUGCACAAUGGGCGCAAGCCUGAUGCAGCCAUGCCGCGUGUAUGAAGAAGGCCUUCGGGUUGUAAAGUACUUUCAGCGGGGAGGAAGGGAGUAAAGUUAAUACCUUUGCUCAUUGACGUUACCCGCAGAAGAAGCACCGGCUAACUCCGUGCCAGCGGCCGCGGUAAUACGGAGGGUGCAAGCGUUAAUCGGAAUUACUGGGCGUAAAGCGCACGCAGGCGGUUUGUUAAGUCAGAUGUGAAAUCCCCGGGCUCAACCUGGGAACUGCAUCUGAUACUGGCAAGCUUGAGUCUCGUAGAGGGGGGUAGAAUUCCAGGUGUAGCGGUGAAAUGCGUAGAGAUCUGGAGGAAUACCGGUGGCGAAGGCGGCCCCCUGGACGAAGACUGACGCUCAGGUGCGAAAGCGUGGGGAGCAAACAGGAUUAGAUACCCUGGUAGUCCACGCCGUAAAACGAUGUCGACUUGGAGGUUGUGCCCUUGAGGCGUGGCUUCCGGAGCUAACGCGUUAAGUCGACCGCCUGGGGAGUACGGCCGCAAGGUUAAAACUCAAAUGAAUUGACGGGGGCCCGCACAAGCGGUGGAGCAUGUGGUUUAAUUCGAUGCAACGCGAAGAACCUUACCUGGUCUUGACAUCCACGGAAGUUUCCAGAGAUGGAUUGGUGCCUUCGGGAACUGUGAGACAGGUGCUGCAUGGCUGUCGUCAGCUCGUGUUGUGAAAUGUUGGGUUAAGUCCCGCAACGAGCGCAACCCUUAUCCUUUGUUGCCAGCGGUCCGGCCGGGAACUCAAAGGAGACUGCCAGUGAUAAACUGGAGGAAGGUGGGGAUGACGUCAAGUCAUCAUGGCCCUUACGACCAGGGCUACACACGUGCUACAAUGGCGCAUACAAAGAGAAGCGACCUCGCGAGAGCAAGCGGACCUCAUAAAGUGCGUCGUAGUCCGGAUUGGAGUCUGCAACUCGACUCCAUGAAGUCGGAAUCGCUAGUAAUCGUGGAUCAGAAUGCCACGGUGAAUACGUUCCCGGGCCUUGUACACACCGCCCGUCA
This 1402-nucleotide ribosomal RNA is filed under the name uncultured bacterium. RNAcentral describes it as "bacterial SSU rRNA". It matches the Rfam family "Bacterial small subunit ribosomal RNA". The record is from RNAcentral.